RNAcentral lists this ribosomal RNA (497 nucleotides) under uncultured bacterium. RNAcentral describes it as "partial 16S ribosomal RNA". It matches the Rfam family "Bacterial small subunit ribosomal RNA", at positions 28 to 507 of the family's 1533-position model. The record is from RNAcentral.
GAUGAACGCUGGCGGCGUGCCUAAUACAUGCAAGUCGAGCGAACGGACGAGAAGCUUGCUUCUCUGAUGUUAGCGGCGGACGGGUGAGUAACACGUGGAUAACCUACCUAUAGGACUGGGAUAACUUCGGGAAACCGGAACUAAUACCGGAUGAUAUUUUGAACCGCAUGGUUCAAAAGUGAAAGACGGUCUUGCUGUCACUUAUAGAUGGAUCCGCGCUGCAUUAGCUAGUUGGUAAGGUAACGGCUUACCAAGGCAACGAUGCAUAGCCGACCUGAGAGGGUGAUCGGCCACACUGGAACUGAGACACGGUCCAGACUCCUACGGGAGGCAGCAGUAGGGAAUCUUCCGCAAUGGGCGAAAGCCUGACGGAGCAACGCCGCGUGAGUGAUGAAGGUCUUCGGAUCGUAAAACUCUGUUAUUAGGGAAGAACAUAUGUGUAAGUAACUGUGCACAUCUUGACGGUACCUAAUCAGAAAGCCACGGCUAACUACGUG